This 433-nucleotide ribosomal RNA is filed under the name uncultured bacterium. Its description in RNAcentral is "partial 16S ribosomal RNA". It matches the Rfam family "Bacterial small subunit ribosomal RNA", at positions 29 to 507 of the family's 1533-position model. The record is from RNAcentral.
AACGAACGCUGGCGGCAUGCCUAACACAUGCAAGUCGAACGAGACCUUCGGGUCUAGUGGCGCACGGGUGCGUAACGCGUGGGAACCUGCCCUUAGGUUCGGAAUAACUCCCCGAAAGGGGUGCUAAUACCGGAUAAUGUCUUCGGACCAAAGAUUUAUCGCGUUUGGAUGGGCCCGCGUUGGAUUAGCUAGUUGGUAGGGUAAAAGCCUACCAAGGCGACGAUCCAUAGCUGGUCUGAGAGGAUGAUCAGCCACACUGGGACUGAGACACGGCCCAGACUCCUACGGGAGGCAGCAGUGGGGAAUAUUGGACAAUGGGCGAAAGCCUGAUGCAGCAAUGCCGCGUGAGUGAUGAAGGCCUGAGGGUUGUAAAGCUCUUUUACCCGGGAUGAUAAUGACAGUACCGGGAGAAUAAGCUCCGGCUAACUCCGUG